Molecule: long non-coding RNA, 2769 nt
Organism: Rhododendron vialii
Lineage: Eukaryota; Viridiplantae; Streptophyta; Magnoliopsida; Ericales; Ericaceae
Exons: 6
Source: RefSeq, a predicted model, not a curated record
CCACAUUUAGUAGGAUAAUCUGGAACGUAAAAUUGGGCAUCAUUUACAGCAUCAAACUUCUCUUUUUAUCAUCCAUCUUUUCCAAAUGAUUCAUGCGUUAUUGCAUAGAAACUCAUGAAUAUCUUUUCCUAAAAUGUCAUGCUUCUAUAAAUAAUGACGAUGAUCAUGGAAAUCCUUGUUUGGUCAAUCAUGGUAGGAGUCUUGGAAAUGUAAUUUUAGUGCAUCUCACAAUUCAUUAAUAGGUGGUUAGUAACUACUUAGUCUAUGGACACAGAAAUCACAUACUUAGUGGUGUCGCUCAACACUUCAUUCAUCUGAAAAGACUGUGAGCUCCACCUGGAAUAAUUAUGGUGCCACAAUCAAUGCAUUUUGUCGCCCAUUACUUCAACUUGCAGUUUACGGGGAGUUUGAAGAUUUAAAUUAGGGCGUAUCCACCUUGCUAUUGGGGAAGCCUCUUGCCCCAUCUAGGUUUCUCAAGGUUACCAGAAGCCCUAUAGGUUUCAGCUUGUGGUCAAGUCAAUUUUAAGGGUAGUUUAAAAAUGCAGCAAAGUGGUGAAAUGCACCAGGUGAUAUCAUAUUUGUCUCACAAAUUGCACGUGUCCAGCUUCUUCAACUCCAUAUGAUCUCCAGAAAGCAAUUUCUCCAUGUCGAUUAUUGGGGGAUCGGGAAUUGAAGUCGGAUAUGAUGUUAUUGGAGGGUCUUGAUCGGGUCGAAUAUACCGGGCUGGGACUGUGGUCAGUGAUUCUUUGGCCAGCUCUUGAACACAAGGUACAGGAAGGGAGCCCCCAAGUGUUUCUAGUUUUGCUUCCAUUGCUUCCUUUAACUUCUCCAAUUGAACCUACAAAGGCAGACUGCGUGUUUCAUGAGUUGGCCUUGUGGUAUACGGUCAGUCACUUCUCAUUUUUCAUUUUUCAAGUGUGACAGUACCUCUCUAUUAAUACUCUAUGGUGGAACCGGAGGGAGGCACCAUGCAAGCCCUUCUAAUUGAGCCGGAAGAUUUCAUUUCCAUUCUAGUCCUCAAACAAUCAAGUGAUCGCACUUCCCUUUUCACAAUCCACGCAUAUGAUGACAAGGGGGAAUUGGGUUCAGCUACCUCAAGGCUUGAAGCGUGUCUGUAACAAGUUGUUGACUCAACUGACAAUGCUAGCUCUCAUUAUGUCCAACGGGCUGCGGCAAUGGCUAUGAUGCUUCCAAGCGGUUUGGGAGCAUGAUGCUCAUCUCAACCAUUGAUCUCAACCAUUGAUUGUCAAAACAUCUCAGUGAUAAGUGUAUUAAGUUUAACCAUACAAUGUAGUAAGUGAAACCAUAUAAAUAGUAAGUGUUGCCUUAAUAAAUAGUAUGUAAAUCUGCUUCUCAAAAAAAAUAGUAUGUAAAUCCUGUUUUUGUGGUAAGUAAUAUUACAAUUUUUUGGCGGAAAAAUAGUAAAACAUCUCGUUUUUAGCAAAACAACCUUGCUUUUUGGUGGGUGGUUUUGAUCUAACGACCGUGAUUUACAUAUUUUUCAAUGUGAGAGUCCAUAUUCAAUGGGAGCAUGCUUGGGAGCAUGACAUAAAUUUUCACGGGCUGCUCCAGAUAUUCCGACAAUUAAAGAGUGCGCAGAUAACGUAAAAGGAAACUAGAACUCUACAGAACUCUCUCUCUGAGUUGUAUGUUUUUCGCAUGCUAUAAGGGAUUUUUUUUUGGCUUGCUGUGAGAGGUGUUACAGCAGAAGUUGACAAAUUGAUUUCUUGUCACAAUCCUGACCUAAUACACACAAGAAUAUUUGAUGGUUAACAAGUUGACUUCUUGACAUCCUCACUUAACGGGCACUGUUCAGUAUUUUGUUAUCGAUAUUAAUGGCAUAAUGUGAUAUAUUGAUAAUUAAUCUGAAGAUUAACUGGAAAGAAAACAGAACUCUACUGACCUCACUCAAUAAUUCAAAUCUCUCUCUCUCUCUCUCUGAGUUGGAUAUUUUUUGCACACCAGAACUGGGGAUUUGUUUUGUUCACUAUGAGAGAUGGUUAAAUAGAAGUUCACAGAUUGGUCUCAUGUGACUCACCUAACAGGCACUAUUGUAACAUGGGCUUUUGUUUCUUGACAUAUAUCACAUGAGGUUGCCAAUACCUUGAGAUUAUUAUUUUUUGCUCGGAGUAUGGAAUAACGAGGUCGAAGUCACAUCUGCUAGCCUGUUGCUAGGUUUGCUCAUGGAUGCUAACAGCGAAUGGUCUAGGAUAUAUAGGCUAAUGUCAAUGUCGAUCUGGAGGUGUGGGUUGAAGAAUUGAGGUUGUACGAAUGAAAAACCAAAAAAGGUCAAAUGUUUAAAUUUGGGUUAUGCACCCUAAUCAUUAGUUAGAACUAUGGUUUUGACGAGUUGCAGAUUAUUCAUCUAAGAUGAUGGUUUACGGGCUUUAGAAAAUGCUGAAGAGUAUUUUGUUUUUGUUUUUGCCCCCUUUUGCUUCUGCUUACCUCUUUUGAAGGAAGGUUGGAGUUGUUUUAGAAGUUUGAGCUUUAUUGCCUGUGCAUUUGUAGGGUUUGCUCAUUGCUUAGGGAUUUCUAGCUGCUUUUUCACUUUGAGCUCUAUUCACAUCCACCAUCUCUGUUUAAUGCGCAGGUUACGCAUGAUCUGUGAGACUGACAGAAUUUAUUCAAAGUGCUCUGAAUGGCUGUUCUGGCUCUUUUUCAAUCCUCAUGGCAUCUAGAUGUGAUUUCCCGUCAAGCUUUUGAGCCAAAAAGCUUUUGAAAUACUCGGAAACCCCAAGUCUUCUAAAAAGUGCAGGAGUUUGUGGGGUA